Molecule: small nuclear RNA, 107 nt
Organism: Acomys russatus (golden spiny mouse)
Lineage: Eukaryota; Metazoa; Chordata; Mammalia; Rodentia; Muridae
Source: RefSeq, a predicted model, not a curated record
GUGCUUGCUUCAGCAGCACAUAUAUAUAAAUUGGAAUGAUACAGAGAAAAUUAGCAUGGCCCCUGCACAAGGAUGGCACACAAAUUCGUGAAGUGUUCUAUAUUUUU